GGGGUUGAAUUGGUUUAGACAGCACGGAAGUGGAAUCGUAAGCAUGUCGGGGGUUGUGACGCUGCCCCGUAAAUCCAGAUCACACUGCCUUAUAAACGGCAAUACUGAUUCUUAUAGGAUGGCUGCGUAGUCUUAGAGACUAUGCCUCAUCUGCUUCCCCGGUAGCUCUUUCUGGCGGCGACCGGUACGAAGCAUCGCAAAUGUCGGAAUAGGUUGUAUAUGGUCCCGAUGUACAACUGAAGCACAGGGAAUAAGGAAACGGUUGGAUUGCCUUUCUCCGGCCGAAUCUCGAAAAUUAAGCAAGGGAUACACAUGUAGAAAGCGUUUGUGCUACGCGUUUGGACGGCGGUUCGAGUCCGCCCAGCUCCACCA
This 372-nucleotide transfer-messenger RNA is filed under the name Bacteroidales. Its description in RNAcentral is "JAHJDW01 sp018812245 Standard tmRNA". It matches the Rfam family "transfer-messenger RNA". Rfam says of the family: Bacterial tmRNA, also known as 10Sa RNA or SsrA, is named for its dual tRNA and mRNA-like properties. Its role is to liberate the mRNA from a stalled ribosome. To accomplish this part of the tmRNA is used as a reading frame that ends in a translation stop signal. RNAcentral also lists the same sequence under 1 other name. The record is from RNAcentral. Lineage: Bacteria; Pseudomonadati; Bacteroidota; Bacteroidia.